UGCCGGCGUGGCGGAAUGGCAGACGCGCUCGACUCAAAAUCGAGAGGGAAACCGUGGAGGUUCGAGUCCUCUCGCCGGUAUC
Molecule: transfer RNA, 82 nt
Filed under: Paenibacillus pseudetheri
Lineage: Bacteria; Bacillati; Bacillota; Bacilli; Caryophanales; Paenibacillaceae
Also listed under: 1 other name
Description: Paenibacillus sp. JJ-60 tRNA-Leu
Rfam family: tRNA
About the family: Transfer RNA (tRNA) molecules are approximately 80 nucleotides in length. Their secondary structure includes four short double-helical elements and three loops (D, anti-codon, and T loops).
Source: RNAcentral